CAAACACCCGAAAAAAUGGA
Molecule: microRNA, 20 nt
Filed under: Ananas comosus (pineapple)
Lineage: Eukaryota; Viridiplantae; Streptophyta; Magnoliopsida; Poales; Bromeliaceae
Description: microRNA s1188_c017b
Source: RNAcentral